AGGGUUCGAUUCUGGCUCAGGAUGAACGCUAGCUACAGGCUUAACACAUGCAAGUCGAGGGGCAGCAUUGGAGUAGCAAUACUCAGAUGGCGACCGGCGCACGGGUGAGUAACACGUAUCCAACCUGCCGCUUACUCGGGGAUAGCCUUUCGAAAGAAAGAUUAAUACCCGAUGGUAUAAAGAGUUCGCAUGUUCUCUUUAUUAAAGAAUUUCGGUAAGCGAUGGGGAUGCGUUCCAUUAGAUAGUUGGCGGGGUAACGGCCCACCAAGUCUACGAUGGAUAGGGGUUCUGAGAGGAAGGUCCCCCACAUUGGAACUGAGACACGGUCCAAACUCCUACGGGAGGCAGCAGUGAGGAAUAUUGGUCAAUGGACGCGAGUCUGAACCAGCCAAAAGUAGCGUGAAGGAUGACUGCCCUAUGGGUUGUAAACUUCUUUUAUAAGGGAAUAAAGUGAGGGACGUGUCCCUUUUUGUAUGUACCUUAUGAAUAAGGAUCGGCUAACUCCGUGCCAGCCGCCGC
RNAcentral lists this ribosomal RNA (519 nucleotides) under uncultured bacterium. RNAcentral's name for it is "bacterial SSU rRNA". It matches the Rfam family "Bacterial small subunit ribosomal RNA", at positions 8 to 518 of the family's 1533-position model. The record is from RNAcentral.